Molecule: small RNA, 77 nt
Filed under: Xanthomonas sp. NCPPB 1560
Lineage: Bacteria; Pseudomonadati; Pseudomonadota; Gammaproteobacteria; Lysobacterales; Lysobacteraceae
Also listed under: 7 other names
Description: sX9 sRNA
Rfam family: Xanthomonas sRNA sX9
Source: RNAcentral
AUGUGCCACGCGUACACUCCGGUUCCGAGCGCGCUGUCCACGCCCACCUGGCGACUGCUCGCUACGUUUUUUGAGCC